This 253-nucleotide ribosomal RNA is filed under the name uncultured bacterium. RNAcentral describes it as "partial 16S ribosomal RNA". It matches the Rfam family "Bacterial small subunit ribosomal RNA", at positions 524 to 776 of the family's 1533-position model. The record is from RNAcentral.
UACGUAGGGACCAAGCGUUGUUCGGAUUUACUGGGCGUAAAGGGCGCGUAGGCGGAUAUGUAAGUCCGCGGUGAAAUCUCUGGGCUUAACCCGGAAACUGCCAUGGAUACUAUGUGUCUUGAAUGCUGUUGAGGUGAGCGGAAUAUGUCAUGUAGCGGUGAAAUGCUUAGAUAUGACAUAGAACACCAAUUGCGAAGGCAGCUCACUAAGCAGAUAUUGACGCUGAGGCACGAAAGCGUGGGGAGCGAACAGG